RNAcentral lists this unclassified non-coding RNA (1807 nucleotides) under Acer pentaphyllum. RNAcentral's name for it is "external transcribed spacer". The record is from RNAcentral. Lineage: Eukaryota; Viridiplantae; Streptophyta; Magnoliopsida; Sapindales; Sapindaceae.
AGGUGUCCGCUGCGAAAUGGGAUGCCCAGUGCCUAUGCCAUGCUCCCCCCCCGCCCAUCGAAGAUGGGGGGCCAUGGCAUAGGCACUACCCCCCCUCGUCGGGUUCGGAUGUCGGUCCGGCGGUCUCCGACCGUCGUUCCGAUCGCCGAUCCGGCGAGGGGGCGGCCAGGUGGGAUGGUAGUGCUUUGUUGCUAUUUUUCGAGAGGAGAGGGACGGUGCACCUCGGAUUUCGGUUUUUCCAACGUAUUGAAAGGGCAAUCGUGGCCAUGGCUUCGGCUUUUGGAUUAGCAUGCGAACGGAGAAUGCCAUGGCCGGAUCAAGAUUUGAGUUUUAACCUCUCGGGGAAGCGGAACACUGUCUCUACUUUCUUGUCUGGCCGUCGAUGGAGAUUAUUCGUUACUCUCCAUCCUGACCCGUCGGAAAAAAUAUUUUCAAAAAGCUCGGUCUGGUGGGCUAGUAGUGCUGCGUUGCUAUUUUUUGAGGGGAGAGGGACGGUACAUCUCGGAUUUUGAUUCUUUCCAACGUAUUCAAAGGGCAAUCGUGAACCGUGGCUUUGGCUUUUGGAUGAGCGUGCGAACGGAGAAUGCCGCGGUUGGGUCAGGACUCGAGUUUUAACCUCUCGGGGGAGCGCAACACCUUCUCUACUUUCUCGUCUGGCCGUUGAUGGAGAGUUUUUCAAUAUUCUCCAUCCUGUCCCGUCGGAAAAAAUGUUUUCAAAAAAACUCGGACUGGUGGGCUAAAGAGAUUUUUGUCCCUCGGAUAAAGAGAUUUUUCAUUAUCCUCGGAUAACGGAGAAUCGUUGGUUUUUAAAAAUGCUUUCCAAAUGUCCCCUAAAGUUUUCGUCCCUCGGAUAAAGAGAUUUUUCAUUAUGCUCCAUAUCAAAACAUCCCGAAAAAAUGCGGAAGAACUAGCAUGCUUAGGCUUGUGCUAACUUGAUGCAUCAUAAGGUUUGUUGCGGUGGGUUGGGCGUAACGGAGAAUCGUUGGUUUUUAAAAAUGCUUUCCAAAUGUCCCCUAAAGGUUUUCGUCCCUCGGAUAAAGAGAUCUUUCAUUAUGCUCCAUAUCAAAACAUCCCGAAAAAAAUGCGGAAGAACUAGCAUGCUUAGGCUUGUGCUAACUUGAUGCCAUCAUAAGGUUUGUUGCGGUGGGUUGGGCGUAAUGGAGAAUCGUUGGUUUUUAAAAAUGUUUUCCAAAUGUCCCCUAAAGGUUUUCGUCCCUCGGAUGGUGUGUGUUUCUUCACGUGAAGCGGUGCUGGUGGUGGUCUUGCUUGAUGUUUCCGCAUGCUCAACGUUUCUAGUAAUCGUUGGGUUGUGGUUCGUUUGGUUAGGCCAUCAUCGGAUGGACGCAACUCAUGUGUGAGUGGUGGUCGGAUGGCAUGGGUCUGCAAGCUCCUUGCUCAGCGCAACGAAUUGUAAGCUCUCCAUCCUUUUCAUAGUCUUCCCCGAGCAUGGUCAUUUGCCUUGUGGGUAAGGUCGGUAUCCUGUGUUUUCUACCGAUUGAACGGAAUUCGGUUGUUUUCAUUUCCUUAUCCGCCCGGUUCCCUUAGGGGGUGUUGGGUGGACGAUAGGCCGACCUCGUGUUCCAGGUACAUCUCGCAUCUUUGUGUGGUUACCAUGGCCCAUGGGGUUGUGCUUGUUCUCUCGGACGCGGACCGUUAGUUGUGGGCGAGGGGUUGUUAUUACGACCUCCAUUCGUCCAAGCUACUAAGCACUUGUCAAUCGACACGAACGACCGCCGCACUCGUCUUGGCUUGUACGGUCGAACGGCUGUACAAUGUCCAUGCGAGCGUCGGUGUCGUGAAGGAAUGC